This 468-nucleotide ribosomal RNA is filed under the name uncultured bacterium. RNAcentral's name for it is "partial 16S ribosomal RNA". It matches the Rfam family "Bacterial small subunit ribosomal RNA", at positions 28 to 507 of the family's 1533-position model. The record is from RNAcentral.
GACGAACGCUGGCGGCGUGCUUAACACAUGCAAGUCGAACGGAAAGGCCCUGCUUUUGUGGGGUGCUCGAGUGGCGAACGGGUGAGUAACACGUGAGUAACCUGCCCUUGACUUUGGGAUAACUUCAGGAAACUGGGGCUAAUACCGGAUAGGAGCUCCUGCUGCAUGGUGGGGGUUGGAAAGUUUCGGCGGUUGGGGAUGGACUCGCGGCUUAUCAGCUUGUUGGUGGGGUAGUGGCUUACCAAGGCUUUGACGGGUAGCCGGCCUGAGAGGGUGACCGGCCACAUUGGGACUGAGAUACGGCCCAGACUCCUACGGGAGGCAGCAGUGGGGAAUAUUGCACAAUGGGCGGAAGCCUGCUGCAGCAACGCCGCGUGCGGGAUGACGGCCUUCGGGUUGUAAACCGCUUUCGCCUGUGACGAAGCGUGAGUGACGGUAAUGGGUAAAGAAGCACCGGCUAACUACGUG